Molecule: ribosomal RNA, 1424 nt
Filed under: uncultured bacterium
Lineage: Bacteria
Description: bacterial SSU rRNA
Rfam family: Bacterial small subunit ribosomal RNA
Source: RNAcentral
CUCAGGAUGAACGCCGGCGGUGUGCCUAAUACAUGCAAGUCGUACGCGUUGGCCCAACUGAUUUGAAGUGCUUGCACGGAUCUGACGUUGGUUUACCAACGAGUGGCGGACGGGUGAGUAACACGUAGGUAACCUGCCCAGAAGCGGGGGACAACACUUGGAAACAGGUGCUAAUACCGCAUAACAAUUCAAAUCGCAUGAUUUGAAUUUGAAAGAUGGUUUCGGCUAUCACUUCUGGAUGGACCUGCGGCGCAUUAGCUUGUUGGUGGGGUAACGGCCUACCAAGGCAGUGAUGCGUAGCCGAGUUGAGAGACUGAUCGGCCACAAUGGGACUGAGACACGGCCCAUACUCCUACGGGAGGCAGCAGUAGGGAAUCUUCCACAAUGGGCGCAAGCCUGAUGGAGCAACACCGCGUGAGUGAAGAAGGUUUUCGGAUCGUAAAGCUCUGUUGUUGAAGAAGAACGUGCAUGAGAGUAACUGUUCAUGCAGUGACGGUAUUCAACCAGAAAGUCACGGCUAACUACGUGCCAGCAGCCGCGGUAAUACGUAGGUGGCAAGCGUUAUCCGGAUUUAUUGGGCGUAAAGAGAGUGCAGGCGGUUUCUUAAGUCUGAUGUGAAAGCCUUCGGCUCAACCGAAGAAGUGCAUCGGAAACUGGGAAACUUGAGUACAGAAGAGGGCAGUGGAACUCCAUGUGUAGCGGUGGAAUGCGUAGAUAUAUGGAAGAACACCAGUGGCGAAGGCGGCUGCCUGGUCUGUAACUGACGCUGAGACUCGAAAGCAUGGGUAGCGAACAGGAUUAGAUACCCUGGUAGUCCAUGCCGUAAACGAUGAGUGCUAGGUGUUGGAGGGGUUUCCGCCCUUCAGAUGCCGGGAGCUAAGGCAUUAAGCACUUCGCCGUGGAGAGUACGACCGCAAGGUUGAAACUCAAUGGCAUUGACGGGGACCCGCACAAGCGGUGGAAGCAUGUGGUUUAAUUUGAAGCAACGCGAAGAACCUUCGCAGGUCUUGACAUCCCUUGACAGCUCCAGAGAUGGAGCGUUCCCUUCGGGGACAAGGUGACAGGUGGAGCAUGGUUGUCGUCAGCUCGUGUCGUGAGAUGUUGGGUUAAGUCCCGCAACGAGCGCAACCCUUAUUACUAGUUGCCAGCAUUCAGUUGGGCACUCUAGUGAGACUGCCGGUGACAAACCGGAGGAAGGUGGGGAUGACGUCAAAUCAUCAUGCCCCUUAUGACCUGGGCUACACACGUGCUACAAUGGCGUAUACAACGAGUUGCCAACCCGCGAGGGUGAGCUAAUCUCUUAAAGUACGUCUCAGUUCGGAUUGUAGGCUGCAACUCGCCUACAUGAAGUCGGAAUCGCUAGUAAUCGCGGAUCAGCACGCCGCGGUGAAUACGUUCCCGGGUCUUGCACUCACCGCCCGUCA